UACGGAGGAUGCGAGCGUUAUCCGGAUUUAUUGGGUUUAAAGGGUGCGCAGGCGGAUUUUUAAGUCAGCGGUCAAAUCGUGGGGCUCAACCCCAUCCAGCCGUUGAAACUGGGGAUCUAGAGUGUGCGAGAGGUAUGCGGAAUGCGUGGUGUGGCGGUGAAAUGCAUAGAUAUCACGCAGAACCCCGAUUGCGAAGGCAGCAUACCGGUGCACAACUGACGCUCAGGCACGAAAGCGUGGGUAUCGAACAGG
This 252-nucleotide ribosomal RNA is filed under the name uncultured bacterium. Its description in RNAcentral is "partial 16S ribosomal RNA". It matches the Rfam family "Bacterial small subunit ribosomal RNA", at positions 524 to 776 of the family's 1533-position model. The record is from RNAcentral.